AGUCAUACCAAUCAUAUAAUUGCUAAGCGGUUGACACUUUUGCAAAUUCUUUCUCUGGGGGAAACUCUAAUAACCCGCCUUUCUUCUGCACUGUUCAACUGCCUGGUGAUUCGCCUGUUUCGUUUGUUAUGCCCCCUGAUAACUAACGCGGCUUCUCCUCUAAAAAGAGAAUCCGCCAAGAAACUGCAUUGAUAGCAUGUCAGCGCUUGUAUCUUGCUGGUGCCACGAGCGCUCGAUGAGCAUCUGCUGCCAACGUCCAUGCAGAUCCUUAAAAACAGCGACCUCAUGAAAUCAGCCCCCUUGAUGCCCA
Zophobas morio is the source of this 310-nucleotide long non-coding RNA. RefSeq lists it as uncharacterized. The transcript is spliced from 4 exons. The record is from RefSeq and is a predicted model, not a curated record. Lineage: Eukaryota; Metazoa; Arthropoda; Insecta; Coleoptera; Tenebrionidae.